GAUAAUGAAGCAGCGACAGGUGAACGAGGCGAACGAGCCGGAAGCAGAGGCUCACAACUGGGAACGGGGCAGUCUUGCACACAGGACGUACUAACGCCAACAGAUGUGCCCAACUGUUCACAAAACUUAGCCCCCCCCUAAUUGUCCUUACGAUAAUAAAAGAAUUUGCCCGAAUUAAACGAUGAUUGCUUCAACGGGCAGCCCGCCACCUUAUGGUCCGCACCUCAGCAAAGCAAACACUUAUCAGCGCGCAUCAGCUCGUUAUGAAGCUGAGUUGAGAGCCCAUCUACAAACAGGCCGAACUGCUUCUCCUGACCCAUCGGAGGCGCGAUACACUUAUCCCGAGCAGAAGAAGGAUUAAACGCGGCCUUGAAGCGUU
RNAcentral lists this long non-coding RNA (379 nucleotides) under Volvox carteri. RNAcentral describes it as "long non-coding RNA (VCAR_LNC003995)". Lineage: Eukaryota; Viridiplantae; Chlorophyta; Chlorophyceae; Chlamydomonadales; Volvocaceae. The record is from RNAcentral.